GACAGAUAAGCGGAGUAAAGGUUUUUCCCUGAAUUUUAAAGAUGCAAUAUUGCACGCUGGGUUUUUUAAUCCAUAUACUGUUGUUCUACACUUCAACAUUAUCUCAUUACAAAUGCAAAUUUUCGAGGGGGUGUAAGAAGAUAAAUCUUCUAUGUAGUUAGUAACUGCAAUAAGGAGUUGUGUUAGUAAAUAAUAUAGUUAGUUAGUGACAAAACAUAUGCUAUAUAAUCAAUUAUAUUUGUGAGUUAUUUAAUCAAGUAUUUGGGUAUUUUCUUGUGAAUCAAUUGUGUUAAGUUUCUCUGAGAAUAAUGUUUGCCAAGAUUCUACAGAUUUGUAGUCUCCUGUCACCUAAAUUUCUCCACAAAUAGUCUUGGGUAUUAAAGUUAUUUUGAAUCUUAGGGAUACAAACAGAUAGAAAAUUUAGGUGAAGGAAUUACAGAAGCUUAGAUUAAGCUUCGAUUGAUUCCAAAACUGAAUACCUUUAUUUCCUAUAUUCAUCAGUUUAUAUAGGUUUGAUUUAUAUAUGAUUUUUAUAUGGUAUUAAAGUUAGUACUAACUUAUUUAUCAGUUUAGUAUUGUAACUAACAUCUUGAUUAUGCCCCUUCCUUAAUACGCCCCCUCAAGCAUAACGGAACUUCUUUGGUAAGCUUGACCCGUAAUGCUUCAAAAGCCGAUCGUGGAAGUGGCUUGGUAAGUAGGUAUGCUACCUGUUCUUUUGACCCGAUGAACCUAACCUCGAGUACCUUGGAAAACACCCGUUCUCGAACAAAAUGAUAAUUCAUCGCGAAAUGUUUGGAUUUCAUGUGAUGUGAUGGGUUCUUUGAGAUGGCUAUCGCACCGGAAUUGUCACACCAAAUUUUUGCCGGUAAUGCAACUUAAAUGCCCAAAUCCUUCAGUAGUCCCCUAAUCCGGUCCAUUUCUGCUGCCGUAUCAGCUACACUUCGAUACUCUGCUUCGGUUGUGGAGCGAGCUACCAUGCUUUGUUUUCUUGACCCCCACGAGACUAGAUUUGUCUCAAGAUAUACAAUGUACGCCCCCUGACUCCUACUAUCGUUCUUAUCUCCCGCCCAAUCGGCAUCGGAAAAGGCUAACAGUUUGGAUGUUUCUGAGUAUUUGGUGUGUAACCCAUGGAAUAGUGUUCCAGCUAUGUAGCGAAGUAUUCUUUUUAGGGAUAUCCAGUGAUCAAUUGUCGGUGUUUGCAUGAACUGUGCAAUUUUAUUUACGGAGAAUGAUUAGUCGGGGCGUGUAAUAGUUAGGUAUUGUAAACUCCCCACUAUUUGACGGAAUAGUGUCGGUGACUCGAACGGGGUGGAUUCAUCAUAUAAUCUGACCCGACUAUCUAUGGGCGUGUGAGCUAGUUUUGCAGUGUCCAAGUCGCUCUUUUCUAGGAUAGUCCUUGCGUAAUGGUGUUGGGAUAAAUGAAGAGAGCCGUCUUCUUCCCAAUUACACUGAAUUCCUAGGAAUUGAUGUAGUCGUCCUAGGUUCUUUACUGGGAAUUGUUUUUGAAGCGACCUGAUUGUAUCUUCUAUAAACUUGGUUGAGGAGCUUGUGAAGAUUAUGUCGUCAACAUACACGAUCAGCCAUGCAUGUACGUUUCCUUUCCGGAACAUGAAUAACGAAUGAUCACAGGUGCUCUCAGAGAAGCCUAGCUGCAGUAACAUCGUUCUGAGUCGAAAGAACCAUGCUCGAGGUGAUUGCUUUAAGCCAUAUAACGACCGUUUGAGUUUACAGAUGUGAUCCGGGAAUUCUUUGUUUGUGAAACCCGGGGCUUGUGGCAUGAACACCUCUUCCUCUAGCAUGCCAUGAAGAAAUGCAUUCGAUACGUCUAAUUGAGAAAUUUUCCAUUUGUUUGUCACGGCUAAGGCUAGUAUCACUCGGAUGGUUACUUGUUUUACUACUGGUGCAAACGUUUGAUCAUAAUCGAUCCCGUCGCGUUGCCGAAGUCCGUUUGCAACUAGUCUUGUUUUGCGCCGUUCCAAGGACCCGUCAGAUUUUAUUUUUUAUCUUGAAGAUCCAUUUACACCCUAACACAUUAUAUUCUGGUAGUUUUGGUACCGAUUCCCAAGUGUUAUUUGUUACUAGUGCCUCGUAUUCUUCUGUCAUAACUUUACUCCAGUCCGGAUCGAGUAGAGCCGAAGUUGCGCCUGUCGGAACUGAUAGCGGUGCUGAGAUCAUGCAAACAUAUUUUGGAUUAGGUUUACGAAUCCCUCGUUGACCCCUUAUAAUCAUGCCUUCCUGUUGUUGGCUAUGAGCAGAUGGAGUAGUAAUUGUUGACUGAUUUCAUUGUCAUGUUGAGUUGGCUCGGUUCCGGAUUCAGAUGUCGUUGGCGGUUCCUUUUGAAGUGGUGGAUCAAUGUUGUUUCCUGAGUCAACAAUUUCCGGAUAACCGAACCCUUGAUCACUUGAAGUCUCAUCAUUAGUUGUUUCUAUUAGCUUUGAGUUGAGGCUGAAGUCUGCUUCAUGAAAUAUGCAUUCACGUGAUAUUACAAAUUUCCUGUUAUUUGGAUCGUAACAUAAGUACCCUCGAUGAUUAUUUGGGUAACCAAGAAAAAUGUGCGGGUCGGAUUUGUAAGUAAAUUUAUUUUUCCUUAUUGGUCUUUGGUUCGGGUAUACUCGGCAUCCAAAAACCCGGAGUCCGUUGUAUGCGGGAGCUACUUGAAAUAGCUUUUGGAAUGGGGAAUCUCCAUCCAGUACUGGUGAUGGCGUUCUGUUAUAUAGAAAUGCAGCUGUAGAGAAUGCAAACUCUCAAAACCGAAGUGGGAUUUGACCGUGAUGCAAGAGUGCGAGGCCAAUGUCCACUAUAUGUCGAUGACGCCUCUCGACCAUACCCAUCUAUGUAUGAGUAUAUGGGCAGGACAGACGGUGUACUAUGCCGCAUUCUUAGAGAAAAGGCUUGAACACUCGGAAUUCUCCUCCGUUGUCUGUCUGGAGAGCUUUCAACGUUUUCCCUGUUUGUUUCUCAACAAAUACUUUAAACAGUUUAAAACCCUUUAGUGCAUCUGAUUUGGAAACAAUCCCAAUCACCUUUGAAAUGUAGAUUUCAAUUCCCAGAUCCCCUUUCUUGAAAUUUUGCAGUUGUUGGCAUAAUUGUAGAAUUCGCGUACCCAAUGUGGACGCAUGUGUUUGUUGGAAUUUUUCCCAUGCUUUUGUCGAGGUCGUCGAGCUUGCUACCUGUGCGAGGAUAUCGACUUGCAGUGUCGAAAAUAUCCACCCGAAGAUCAGCUGAUCUUGUUGUAUCUUCCCUUGGUCACCGUCGAGACUGAUUUCUCCAGUCACAUACGGAAGGAGUCCGUAUCCGCGCAGGAAAGUGAGCACCUGUGCUUGCCAUAUGAAGUAGUUGCUGCCGGUGAGACGUUCCGCACAUUGAUGCUUUAAUUUCACAAUUUUCAUCUGACCUGUCGCGCUGCUGAAUGGUUGCAGUUGAUUUCAGUUCUUGAAUCGGACGACGAUUGUGAGGACGAAGAUCGCGAGGACGAAGACUCGGUAGAAAUCAGCUUCGGAAUUGCAAUGCGGACGGACGUGUUGCGAAGAUGUCGAGUUGCGGCAGAAAUCGAAUUUAGCCGAACUUAAAUUCAGCAGAAAUUCAACCGACAGAAAUCAAAUUCAGAAGAAUUUAAAAGUUGCAAACCGUGUUGCGGAGGUCUCGCGGCAGAAAUCUGAAAUGAAAAUCGCUGAAACGUGCAGAACGGCGUGCUCGCGGAUGAAAUCGACAGGAGCAGAUUCGUAGAUCGGACGAUGAUUGAAAGACACCGGAGCCGCAGAACUCGCGCGGAUGAAAUCGACGUGUUGCCGAACCCGGAGUUGAAACCGCAAGAAUCGCACAAAAUCCAAAUCGUGUUGCGAGUGUGCGAGAGUCCAGAUCGUGCAGAUAAACCCGCACAAAACGCGGAUGAAAUGCCGUCUGUGGAUGGACUCGGACGUUGCGGGGUGGCUUGUGUAGAACGCGGAUGAUCCGGACGAUGCGUCGCGGAGGAAAUCGGCGUUGAAAUCGAUUGUGGAGGAAUAAUCGAAGGUCGUCUUCCUGGAGAUGAUUUGAUUCUCUGGAAUUUGCUGCAACGCGGAGCUGCCGUCGGCGAAGUUGCGUCGCCGUUUGGUUAAUCUCCAUAGAUGACAGAGUUUGCGAAAAAGAAGUCACAGGAUGCGCCCUCUGCUCUUGAUACCAUUAUAGAAGCUUAGAUUAAACUUAGAUUGAUUCCAAAACUGAAUACCUUUAUUUCCUAUAUUCAUCAAUUUAUAUAGGUUUGAUUUACAUAUGAUAUUCACGAUAGUUAGUACUAACUAACUUAUUUAUCAGUUUAGUAUUGUAACUAACAUCUUGAUUAUGCCCCUUCCUUAAUAAGGAAAAAUACCCAAAUGGUAUUGGAGAAACAGAUACAAACAAUCUUUGUAAAAACAAGAAGAAGAAAACCCAAAUGGUGAAGGAACCAAAGAUCGGUUAUGGAAUCUUACCUGGAAGUCGUCGGAAUGGACUGGAAGUCUAUCCCUCACCACUGCUCGCUGGACAGGAAGUAUCGCCCUCGCCGGAUGGAAGUAUCGCUCUCGCCGGAUCUCGGUAUCGCUGGUCCAGACUCUCACUCAAAACUCGUUGUUGGUCACGGAAUCAACUCGCCGCUCGCCUCUCACCAGAAAUCGAAGUUGGAAUCACCGGAGGUGGGAGUUGGAGAAAAACACGAUUUGGGUAGAAGAAAUAAAGGAUUUAACUUUUAAAGCUUGAACGAUAUCUAUUGUUUAAUUUAGGAGUUUUGGCUUAUUUAUACUUUUUUACUAUUACAUUUUACAAUUUAC
This 4784-nucleotide long non-coding RNA is filed under the name Zostera marina. Its description in RNAcentral is "long non-coding RNA (ZMAR_LNC000171)". Lineage: Eukaryota; Viridiplantae; Streptophyta; Magnoliopsida; Alismatales; Zosteraceae. The record is from RNAcentral.